UAAAUUUACUAGGGGAGCUAGUGCUCUGGCUGAGAAUGGAAAGAAAGUUCCUAAACCCUUGAACCUGAUAUGGUUAGAACCAUCGUAGGGAAGUGAUAAAUUAAAAAU
Regulatory RNA element from Clostridium paraputrificum, 108 nucleotides. It matches the Rfam family "TPP riboswitch aptamer (THI element)". Rfam says of the family: Vitamin B(1) in its active form thiamin pyrophosphate (TPP) is an essential coenzyme that is synthesised by coupling of pyrimidine and thiazole moieties in bacteria. The previously detected thiamin-regulatory element, thi box was extended, resulting in a new, highly conserved RNA secondary structure, the THI element, which is widely distributed in eubacteria and also occurs in some archaea. The record is from Rfam. NCBI's taxonomy places the organism in Bacteria, Bacillati, Bacillota, Clostridia, Eubacteriales, Clostridiaceae.